This 347-nucleotide unclassified non-coding RNA is filed under the name fungal sp. RNAcentral's name for it is "partial internal transcribed spacer region". The stretch from base 1 to 46 matches the Rfam family "Eukaryotic small subunit ribosomal RNA", at positions 1786 to 1831 of the family's 1831-position model. Lineage: Eukaryota; Fungi. The record is from RNAcentral.
AAGUCGUAACAAGGUUUCCGUAGGUGAACCUGCGGAAGGAUCAUUAACACGUAUCCACGUACCUCUACACACCCACUCUGUGAACUGGGAAGGAACUGGGCCUGUAUGGGACCGUUCCAACCUCCCUUUUUUUCACCCCUUUUUUUGACUCUCCGUUUUGAACCCCCCUAGUGGCCUGAUCUCCAAGGUGUGUCUUGGGUCGCUUCCAUUCGACGAUCGAGCUCGGCUUCCUUCACUGGGACCGCUCUCGACUGUCGUUCUGGCAGUGCCACUCGACACCCGAACCAUAUGGAUUUUCCAAAUGAGUUAUCAUAGCACAACUCUUAGCAAUGGAUAUCUUGGUUCUC